GAGUUUAUGAAUAUUUAAGAAGUAUAUUAUAUAGUUGUAGUAGGUUUGGUGCGAAGAGUGUUUGGCCCUAGCUCUAGGUUAACUGAAUGUUUAAGUUUAAUACAUGGCACUACAUGGGAUAUCGGGAGGUACAGGCUACAUAAAGUUUAUUUAAAUAGUUUAGGUUAUGGGCCUUUGGGGUUAGCCGUUAGCAUUAUUGCGAGGAUGGUAUAUGUAUUUUCCCUACACCAGUAUAAGAUUUUAGAAAACACGGUAACGUUGAUUUAGGCUGGACAUAACAAAGGAGGUAAAGACAGUGCCAGCACCUGCGGUUAAACUGUUCCUUUUAGUUAAUCUAUACGAAGAGGAGUAAUUAGUUAAAGUAAGAAUAAAACAGUAUAGAACUCCGGUAAAAUGGUAUUUAUAAAGUAUAUCCUUUAAUUCUUGAAACUUAAAACUCGAAAAUCUGUGACAAAGACUGGGAUUAGAGACCCCAUUAUUUAAGACGUAUAUAAAUCUUCGGGGAGUAUGAACAGAUGGUGUUUAAAAACUAAAGGGCUUGGCGGUGCAUUGUAUUCGUCCAGGGGAACUUGACGGUUAAAUCGAUGGUCCUCGAAUUACCUUACCUUUUUAAAUCUUGCUAUACCGCCGUUGACAGUUAGACCUUCUCAUAAAGGUACAAAUUUUUCCGUAGGAAGUGCUAAGUUCACUUAGGAAUUCAGGUAAACGUGGCGGGUAUAAAAAGGGCUUAGUUGAGUUACAAUCUAAUAUGGUCGGAUUUGUAACUGAAAUAGUAUAUAUGAAGAAGGACUUGGUAGUAAGUUGUAGUAAGGGUUUAUAACUGAAUUGUAUAUCGAUGUGCGUACAAACUGCCCGGUGCCCCCGCAUAAUCAAAGUGGGGUAAGCCGUAACAUGGUAAUUUUACUAGAAAGUGGUGUUAUUUAAGUAGGUUAGAAUAUAUUUAGUAAUA
RNAcentral lists this ribosomal RNA (949 nucleotides) under Nuttallia olivacea. Its description in RNAcentral is "12S ribosomal RNA". The record is from RNAcentral. Lineage: Eukaryota; Metazoa; Mollusca; Bivalvia; Cardiida; Psammobiidae.